Molecule: ribosomal RNA, 253 nt
Filed under: uncultured bacterium
Lineage: Bacteria
Description: partial 16S ribosomal RNA
Rfam family: Bacterial small subunit ribosomal RNA
Source: RNAcentral
UACGUAGGGUGCAAGCGUUGUCCGGAAUUAUUGGGCGUAAAGAGCUCGUAGGCGGUCUGUCGCGUCUGCUGUGAAAACUCGGGGCUUAACCCCGGGCCUGCAGUGGGUACGGGCAGACUAGAGUGCGGUAGGGGAGACUGGAAUUCCUGGUGUAGCGGUGAAAUGCGCAGAUAUCAGGAGGAACACCGGUGGCGAAGGCGGGUCUCUGGACAACACCUGACGCUGAGGCACGAAAGCCAGGGGAGCAAACAGG